Molecule: non-coding RNA, 3939 nt
Organism: Aegilops tauschii subsp. strangulata
Lineage: Eukaryota; Viridiplantae; Streptophyta; Magnoliopsida; Poales; Poaceae
Source: RefSeq, a predicted model, not a curated record
AAGAGGCAGCCCAACCCCACGCAGCCCUCUUUCUCUUUCUUUCUUCCAUUCCCCUCCCGACCCCUCGUCUCCUCCUCCUCCCAUCCCACCGCGCUGCCGCCUCCACCCACCGGCGACCCCCGCCGUCUCCGUCUCCCCUACCUCCGCCGCCCCCCACGGACGCACCGGUGCUUCCGGAUCCGGGCGCACCCGUGUGAAGCGCGGACUGCAAAACCCGCUCCCGGGAACCCUAGCAGCCCACACUUCGCCGGCGCGCAGCAACGGGAGGAACGCGAGCGGCGCGACGACUUCUUCCACGACGUUACGCUGCGCCUCGCCGACGUCGCCCUCUCGGCCGUCAACGUCAGCACCGGCCCCUCUCUCCUCCUCUCGGCUCGCCGCGGCCUUGUUCUGCUUCGACGCUGAUGCGGCUGACAUCGGGCGCCGUGCUCGACCUCGGGUGCGCCCCCGGCUCGGGGCUCCAGCCAGAACCUUGGCCUGCUCGACAAGGGCGGCAUGGUCGUAGGCGUCCUGUCCAUGUCAAGGGCAGAAGGUGAAUGACCCCUCAGAUGGAGGUCUAGUUUGUUAGUUACCAAAGAGAGAUAGAGAAGAUGAGGUCUAGUUUGAGUUUUGCUGCUAGCUCAUCUUCACAACCUUGCAGUUGCAGGGGUCUACAAAACUGGCGACUUCCCCCACAAUGCCAAGGAGGGAUUCAUCUGUCUGCGCUGCGCUGAAUGUUUCUUUCUGCAACGAAACCGAUGGAUCUUCAGACCUACCCAUCUGGAUGGUUAAUAUUCAUUCUUUGGCGUCGGGCUGGAUUGUGGUGAGUCGACGCCAAACACCACGGGGGCGCUGCUGCACACACAAGUGGGAUCACAUCUCCCUUACUGAUACUACUCAGGCACCAAGUUCCGCAAGCAUGCUGGUCGAGGAUACUUCGCUACAUGACUCUAGAGCAGCUCACCAUAGGUGAUAGGCGGCGAUCUCCAGUAGGACCGGACCGGUGUAGGCACCAAGUUCUGCUGAUCUGGCAAGCAUGCAGGUCGAGGAUACUUUGCCACAUGACUCCAGAGCAGCUCGCUAUAUAGAAGAUAGAUGAUAUCCAGUAGAACCUGACCGGUGUAGGUAGACUGGGAUGACUCUGCGCCAAGGCGAUCUUGUUGGGUACCCUCCUGUUCUGAGGAAGCGCUUAAGAUUUCUAACACAAUUGCACCUCUGUGCUCUGGAGAUGUUGGUAUGGCUGACUCGUUGCUAGGACCAGAUUGUUUCCGCUUCAGCCGGUGCAGGAGCGGCUCCCCCUCUGCCUCCGGUGGCCGCUUCUUCUCCGACUCUGGCGUAGAUAGACUGGGAUGAAUCUGCGCCCCUGUCGUUAAGAAAUAGACAUUUCAAUGAUUGGCAACUCGAUCUUGUUGGGUACCCUCCUAUUCUGAAGCAGCUUUAGAUUACUGGCACAUUUGCACAUCUGUGCUCUGGAGAUGUUGGCAUGGCUGCCCGUUGCUCGGAGCAGAUUGUUUCCGCUACUGCCGGCGCAGGAGCGGCUCUCCCUGCGCCUCCAGUGGCUGCUUCUUCUCGCACUACAGCAUAGCUGGACAUGUAAGCUUUUGGACUUUGACCAGCUCAUACUAUAGAGGGGCGCAAGUGGUCGUUAUGGGUAAUUAUGUUCAUCCACCAUUCUUCAGAUGCUCCUUUGUUUGGUACAGAUAAGUAAGUGAUGUUUUAUCGAAUCACCAUAGUCGAACCAACCUUUUUAUGGCUGGACGGCCCCUUCAUUGAUGCUCUUAACUGCAACUCAAGUGGUUGUGAUGCUACUCUGUAAGUGCUUGUGUGUAGAGUAAAGCAAUCUUGCUUUAAUCCUUUUGUCACGUGCUCGUGCUUGUGUUUGUGGUACCAUUCAGUUUCAGCCAGUCAAUGUGUUAGCUGCUGGAAUUCUACUGCUCCAUGUUUUCCUUCCCUUCCCUGCGUGCCUUUUGUUGCUAGUUUCUCGACUAGUAUUUCACACUACAUCUUCUUGCUGUAAUUGUAACUGCAUUCUUCCUCCUGUUGACCGAAGUGAUCCUUAAAAAUAUGAGAUUUUAUGGUUUCAAAAGGGCUACAUCAUUGUUCAUCAUCCUUAUGUGCACCAUCUCAUGCUAUCACAAUGGUCAACCAUUCAUCUCGUAUGUAUCAAUGUAUGUAUGUGUGCAAAAAAAAACAUUCAUGCUGCUUAUUUCUUUUACAGUUUUGACAUUAUGUUGUACCUUGGUUCAUUAUAACUGAAUCUCAAUACCUUUUUGAUGUUGUGCACCCGUCCCGUGUUAUCUCUUCAGAAUUUGAUGGCUAAUUUGAUGACGUUGUUCUGCUUAUGUGACAAUCUCUUAUCAUGGAUGCUUCUACUUGACAAUUUGCAUUUAACUAAAAAACAUUUUAUUUCAGACAAAAGAACAGAAGUUUUCUAGUCUGGGUCUGUCUUAACUUCGUGAAUGAAGGACGCUCUGCUAUUUACUGUUGCUGAUAAUUAUUCUUCUCUGAAUGAAAGGAAUCCCUUUUGCACCGUUUGCAAAGGAGUUGGAUAUGCGGGGGCAUGGGGUCCCGGUCAAAGUGGCCAACACCACCUACAUGGGCAUGAACGCCGUCUACUGCGCCGGCGGCGUUUACAACCUGCCGAUCUUCCAGUAGCUCAUGGCGGAGGAGCCAUAGCUGCCGGUUGGGUUGGUUCCAGUCCUAGCAAGCGCGAACACAGCGCCGGAUCCACCUUGGCCACAACCACACACCUUAUUGAAUAUAUAUGUAUCUACACAAUGAUGAUACACGCACAGGUGCACGGCUGAUGGUAAGCCGGCUCCACUUCAGCCCCUCCGGUUGCCCCUAUUCCUCUUCCACUCCGGCACGGCUGAUGUUUCCUCACCCAGGUGCACAAACGGGUGGUGUGCGUGGGGGAGAAGGCGCCUGACAUUACCAGUGAGUCCAUCGGCCUGUGUUGGUGCUCACUCGACGCCUUCGGUGGCCUCAUCUUGUUUGAUUGAACCUCAACCCAUGCGUCAAGUUAUUUUUUGCUAGGCCGCACCGGAGUUGAGAGCCAGCGCAAAAUCAUGCCUGCUCUCCCUCGAGCCCCUGCCUCCCGUGACGCCUCCGGUGGAUGAUUCUUCUCUGACUACGGCCUAGGUGUUUGUGCUAUGGAAUUGGUGAGUUGAAGGAAGAAGCUCAAGAUGUAGAAGAAUGACAGGUCGUCUGGGACUCUCGAUUGUUUUGCUUGGCUGUUUAAGCUUAGCAUUGGAGGAGAAACUGAUGUUUGUAGUAUUCAAGAAUGUGCUGCUUGUUACCUUGUGGCGUGACUGAAGGACAGACGGCGGAGGGCGUGGUGGAAAAACCUGGGAAGUCACAGGCUUGAGAGGGAGAGAUGUUGAUACACGCCACAUGUACCAAUCUUAUCCAGCAGCCCUACAUAUGUGUAACAAUGGCAGUGGUGUCCGCCUCGUCCAUUGUUCAGGUAUGCUUGAUGAACUAUGAGAGCUUCGGCUUCGUCGCAUGGUAAAUCUCGACAUUUUAAAGAAGGCACAUCCUUAUUUCUUCAAUUUAUAGUUGAUCACACUUAGAAUGCCAAGAUUGUUGAGACGAGACGUUUGAGAAGGAUGGUGACACAAAGGCGGCGGAGAGGAACACGAUAGUGGGUGAUGAGCUGAGGCGGUUUUGUGAGAGUUGGAUGGCAAGCAAUUGGAGUUGUGCAGUUGCUGAAAAUAAAGUUUGGUCUUGGCUGGAGAGGCGUCAUUCAUGCAUGAUGAUGGCUUUGCAAGAUUGUCCACCUCCUCCUAUCGUAUGAAUCAUUCAUUUAUGUUGUAUAAAUCUGAAAUUCUUCAAUGGGAUUGUCCAGGAUAUAGAUGAGCAAUACAAUAGUGUCAUGUGAAAUAGGAAUUGUACAAAUCCUCUUUCUGGAGAAGUGGAUUGUGAUGUUAAUAGCAAAAUCAUUACAUCUUGUUUUCUUUC